This is a microRNA precursor of Oryza rufipogon (brownbeard rice), 196 nucleotides long. It matches the Rfam family "MIR812 microRNA precursor family". NCBI's taxonomy places the organism in Eukaryota, Viridiplantae, Streptophyta, Magnoliopsida, Poales, Poaceae. The record is from Rfam.
AUCCAAAAAAAACUUAGGUUUCCGCGUCUAAUGUUUGACCGUCCAUCUUAUUUGAAAAAAAUUAAAAACAUAAGUCAUGCAUAAAGUAUUAUUCAUGUUUUAUCAUUUAACAAUAAUAAUAACACCAAUCAUAAAAAAAAUUUAUAUAAGACGGAUGGUCAAACGUUGGACACGGAAACCCAAGAAUUGAGUCUUU